GACGAACGCUGGCGGCGUGCUUAACACAUGCAAGUCGAACGGAAAGGCCUUGCUUUUGUGGGGUGCUCGAGUUGCUAACGGGUGAGUAACACGUGAGUAACCUGCCUUUGACUUUGGGAUAACUUCAGGAAACUGGGGCUAAUACCUGCUACGAGCUCCUGCUGCAUGGUGUGGGUUGGAAAGGUUCGGCGGCUGGGGCUGGUCGCGCGGCUUAUCAGCUUGUUGGUGAGGUAGUGGCUUACCAAGGCUUUGACGGGUAGCCAGCCUGAGAGGGUGACCGGCCACAGAGGGACUGAGAAGCGAGCAAGACUGAUACGGGAGGAAGCGAUGGGAGAUAGUGCAAAAUGGGCGGAGGGAGGAAGCAGCAACGCCGCGUGGGAGAUGACUGCUAUCGGGUAGGAAACCGCUUUCGGCUGUGAGGAAGAAUGAGUGACGGUAAUGGGUAAAGAAGCAACGGCUAACUACGUG
This 468-nucleotide ribosomal RNA is filed under the name uncultured bacterium. RNAcentral describes it as "partial 16S ribosomal RNA". It matches the Rfam family "Bacterial small subunit ribosomal RNA", at positions 28 to 507 of the family's 1533-position model. The record is from RNAcentral.